GUAUGCACAAUAUAUUUUUAUUUUUAUUACGUAAUCUUUAAAUUUUGAUUGUUUUGGUCAUCAGAGAGCUUCAGAACAGUUUCUUAAUUAUAUUGGUUGUAAUAAAAUAAUUAGAAAAUGUUUGUGUGUUAUAUUAAUAGUAUUGCGACGUAUCUGUUUCGUAACCGCAUUGUAUGCGGAAACUGCAGUGACGCAGCUGAUCUGAGAGAAGUAGCAUGUGCUUGGGAAGGGUCACGUCGACAAUUACAUACCUGAGUGAGAUAUAAAGUAGAACUGUAAAGUUUCAUUUGUAGGCGGUAAAAUAUGUGUCAGUGUUCUAGAAUGCUAACCAUUUAUAUAUUUCAUAUUCGACCAUAUCAUAUAAAACCUCCAGUCUCUCACUUCCAGGUUUAGUUGAAUUAUAACUGAAGUUUUCAAACUAAAACACUUCGCAGAGCGUGAAGUAACUUGACUUUUUAUCAUCAACAUUGGGACCUUGUGGACAACAUAAAUAUAGCAUGAAACAAAAUGGCGUCACUUGAGAAGCACCUUGAUUUUUCCAUGGUCAAGGAGAGAAGAACAGAAUUGAUGAACUGGUGGUUGAUUGUUUGCUUAGAAAUAAAGAAUCGAUAUUAAUUAACAUUCAAACAACAAACUUUUGAUGACCAGUUGUUUAGCUGCUUUCCAAAUUUGAAUGCAUCUUUGAAACCAACGAACGUUUUACAGGCUGCCAUGACGAAAUGCAAGAGGCUUCGGUAAGAUAAGUUCAUGGUACUGUUUUUAUCUGAUGAAAGAACCAUCUAGGUAAUAUUCUUGUUUGCUCAUUGGCUCACUUCGAAAGUCCCGGAUGAAACUUGGGAGUAGGCCGAGUACCACGCUGAGUUCCCAUAGGUCACGCUUGUGAACACAGCUGGUGGUAUCUCAGUGUAACCCCAAGAUGGACAUCACUCAUCGGACAGUCAUCUAGCUUCUCAACCUUCGGUUCACAUUAUACACACAUAAUAAGAAUUUAUGUAAAUCUAGGUUCUGUUAUCAGUUUAUCAGGUUUUUCUCAUAAAUUUACAGUUAGUGUUCUGUAAAAAAAAA
Molecule: long non-coding RNA, 1065 nt
Organism: Limulus polyphemus (Atlantic horseshoe crab)
Lineage: Eukaryota; Metazoa; Arthropoda; Merostomata; Xiphosura; Limulidae
Exons: 3
Source: RefSeq, a predicted model, not a curated record